This 54-nucleotide transfer RNA is filed under the name Passalurus ambiguus. RNAcentral describes it as "tRNA-Ala". The record is from RNAcentral. Lineage: Eukaryota; Metazoa; Nematoda; Chromadorea; Rhabditida; Oxyuridae.
AAUAGUUUUGUUUGAAAAAAAUAUUUAUUUAGCAUAUUAUUUGUUCAUCUUUUA